RNAcentral lists this long non-coding RNA (594 nucleotides) under Macaca mulatta (Rhesus monkey). RNAcentral's name for it is "lncRNA (ENSMMUG00000044720.2)". The record is from RNAcentral. Lineage: Eukaryota; Metazoa; Chordata; Mammalia; Primates; Cercopithecidae.
GCCCUGUAUCCUGCAGAGGAGAGGGAAGCAUCAGGAAGCUCUCGUGGCCUGGUGGGCAAGAUGAGGUGUACAUAAGGAUGUCCACUGUGUGUGUGCACAGCGGAAGAGAGAGUCGGAGUUCCAGCCUCUUCCCAGAGAGGGGGGCACUGGAGAGAGCACCUGGCUGAGAAUGUGGUCUCUGUGGUGGUAUUUCAUGAAGAAAUAGGAGAAAAAAACAAGAAAGAAGAACUCAAAGCCAAAGAAAACGCAGAUCCCACACAACUUCCUGUGUUAAUUGUUCCAUGUGGAUUCAACUGUUCUCGGUUUUGGGAGAAAUAUAUAUUUUUUCAGGUCUCAAAUAAUCUGCCCCUGAACUCAAAGGGCGAUGAGGCCCCCAAACAGCCUUUAGCUAUCACCAAACAGGCUUCUUACCCUGGGCACCCUCUUUACUCCUUAAGCUUAUGCCCCCUUUUGCCACAAACAAUAUUGGGACCCAAAGACAGAGCCAGCACUACUUACAAAUUUAAAAUCACUAGGCAAGUUACAGUGAAUCAAACAAACUUCACUCCUACUUUACAUUUUCAAAUCCAUUUGCCCUUACUAGAAUCAAUUUGA